AUGAAUUGCUUAAGUUGGAACUGCCGGGGGCUACGGAACCCCGAGGCAGUUCGCGAGCUUCGCAACAUCGUGAAGCAAGAAGUUCCUGCCCUGCUAUUCAUUAUGUAGACCAAAAUCAGGGCUAAGAGAGUUGAGGAUCUGCGUUAUCAGUUAGGUUUCUUGGGAUGUUUUGCAGUGGACAGCGAAGGACUGAGCGGUGGCAUUGGUCUUUUCUGGUCCAAGGAUUAUGAUGUUCAACUGAAACACUAUAGUUCCGGCCAUGUUGAUGCAAUGGUGCAGAUGAAGGAUCAAAGCUUGAAUGAGUGGCGAUUCACGGGCUUCUAUGGAGCACCGAGAGCUGAGAAUAGACACCAUAGCUGGCGCUUCAUGAGAACAUUGUAUGCACAACCGCAUGAUGCAUGGUUAUGCCUGGGUGACUUUAACGAGACUCUGUACGGUGAUGAGCACUUCAGUCGUUCGGCUAGGACGGAAUGGCAAAUGCGAGCUUUCAGAGAGGUUGUUGAUGAGGUUGGUUUCCAAGAUCUAGGGUGGGCUGGACUGCCCUACACCUGGGAUAAUAGGCAGGAUGGAGAUGCUAAUGUAAAGGCCAGGCUUGACCGUGCUUUUGCAAACGAGGCUUUUCGAAGGCAUCAUGAGUUCAUCCGAGUACGACAUAUCAGUGCAGUGGAGUCGGACCACUGUUUCAUCGUUGCAGAGAGCAGAGACAAGCCACAUGGUCCGAGGGGGCGACGACCGAAACAAUUUUGA
This 747-nucleotide ribosomal RNA is filed under the name Triticum aestivum (bread wheat). RNAcentral's name for it is "partial small subunit ribosomal RNA". Lineage: Eukaryota; Viridiplantae; Streptophyta; Magnoliopsida; Poales; Poaceae. The record is from RNAcentral.